UGCCAGGCUGCUGGGGUCUCCGUCCACGUGUGCAAUGAGCACCGUUAUGGGUACAUGAAUGUGCCGGUGAAAUCCCACCAGGGGCUGGAAGACGAGAGGGUCAACUUCAUCCACCUGAUCUUAGAAGCACUAGUGGACGGCCCCCGCAUGCAGGCCUCAGCUCAUGUGACUCGGCCCUCUAAGAGGCCCAGCAAGAUAGGGUUUGACGAGGUCUUUGUCAUCAGCCUGGCUCGCAGGCCUGACCGUCGGGAACGCAUGCUCGCCUCGCUCUGGGAGAUGGAGAUCUCUGGGCGGGUGGUGGACGCUGUGGAUGGCCGGAUGCUCAACAGCAGUGCCAUCAGGAGCCUCGGCGUAGACCUGCUCCCGGGCUACCAGGACCCUUACUCGGGCCGCACUCUGACCAAGGGCGAGGUGGGCUGCUUCCUCAGCCAUUACUCCAUCUGGGAAGAGCGAGCAGUACAAGGCACACUUCUGGCCACGGGACCUGGUGGCCUUCUCCGCCCAGCCCCUGCUCGCUGCCCCUACCCACUAUGCCGGGGACGCCGAGUGGCUC
RNAcentral lists this small RNA (553 nucleotides) under Pan troglodytes (chimpanzee). RNAcentral's name for it is "processed transcript". The record is from RNAcentral. Lineage: Eukaryota; Metazoa; Chordata; Mammalia; Primates; Hominidae.